GAUGAACGCUGGCGGCGUGCCUAAUACAUGCAAGUCGAGCGAACGGACGAGAAGCUGGCUUCUCUGAUGUUAGCGGCGGACGGGUGAGUAACACGUAGAUAACCUACCUAUAAGACUGGGAUAACUUCGGGAAACCGGAGCUAAUACCGGAUAAUAUUUUGAACCGCAUGGUUCAAAAGUGAAAGACGGUCUUGCUGUCACUUAUAGAUGGAUCCACGCUGCAUUAGCUAGUUGGUAAGGUAACGGCUUACCAAGGCAACGAUGCAUAGCCGACCUGAGAGGGUGAUCGGCCACACUGGAACUGAGACACGGUCCAGACUCCUACGGGAGGCAGCAGUAGGGAAUCUUCCGCAAUGGGCGAAAGCCUGACGGAGCAACGCCGCGUGAGUGAUGAAGGUCUUCGGAUCGUAAAACUCUGUUAUUAGGGAAGAACAUAUGUGUAAGUAACUGUGCACAUCUUGACGGUACCCAAACAGAAAGCCACGGCUAACUACGUG
RNAcentral lists this ribosomal RNA (497 nucleotides) under uncultured bacterium. RNAcentral describes it as "partial 16S ribosomal RNA". It matches the Rfam family "Bacterial small subunit ribosomal RNA", at positions 28 to 507 of the family's 1533-position model. The record is from RNAcentral.